This 240-nucleotide unclassified non-coding RNA is filed under the name soil metagenome. Its description in RNAcentral is "partial contains 5.8S ribosomal RNA, internal transcribed spacer 2, and large subunit ribosomal RNA". The record is from RNAcentral.
AACCAUAGAAACCUGCGGAGUACCUGCGGCAGGAUCAUUACAGAGUUGCAAAACUCCCUAAACCAUUGUGAACGUUACCUAAACCGUUGCUUCGGCGGGCGGCCCGGGUCCUUCCCGGCGCCCAUCGGCCCUCGCGGGCGCCCGCCGGAGGUAAACCAAACUAUUGCAUUGUAUGGCCUCUCUGAGUCUUCUGUACUGAAUAAGUCAAAACUUUUAACAAUGGAUCUCAGAUCGGAAGAG